CAAAAUGGAAUCUCGGAUGUUGUGA
Molecule: non-coding RNA, 25 nt
Filed under: Mus musculus (house mouse)
Lineage: Eukaryota; Metazoa; Chordata; Mammalia; Rodentia; Muridae
Source: RNAcentral